Molecule: long non-coding RNA, 1797 nt
Organism: Chenopodium quinoa (quinoa)
Lineage: Eukaryota; Viridiplantae; Streptophyta; Magnoliopsida; Caryophyllales; Amaranthaceae
Exons: 3
Source: RefSeq, a predicted model, not a curated record
UGUGAAAACAAACCUAAAGCUGAAAACUGAAAACAGAUGAUCUAGACCAUUGAAUUUUCAUCUGACGGAUUAGAUUACAUUCGCGUUAUUUGUAAUCUUGACCGUCCAUUCUCUCUGCUCUAUUUUUAUCUUUCUUCAAUCUCACGAUAUCACUGGUUCUCUAUCCUUCUCCUAAAAAAUCAUCAAAUUUCAGAGGAAUUUGCUUCAAUCUUCAUCAAUAAUUUGCUUCAAUCUUCAUCAAUUUCGUCUUUAGCUUCAAAAUUAAACCUGAAAAGUGAGUUUUGCGUUUCAACAAUCAAUUAUGUGAGUUAAUCAUUUUCGUCGCUGAAUAUUCAUCCCAUUGAAGCGAGUUUUGAGCUUUCUCGAUCCUCCAUUGAAGCGAGUUUGAGCUUUCUUCUCCAUUGAAGCGGCUUCUCAGGUAGUAUUUCUUAAAUUAUCGACUAUCAAUUUCACAAUCUAGGGUUUAUUUCUAGUUAAUUGCUCGAAUGUUUUUGUUAUGAAAUAUAAAUUGUUGUUUGGAUUCGAAAUUUGUUGAAUAGCAUGCGAAUUUUGUCGAUUCAAGCAUUUAAUUGUUUUUAGAUUUUAUGUGUCAUGUAUUGUGAGUUUGUGACCCUUGAAUUUAUGUAAAAUUGGGGGAUUAGAGCAAUCUUGAGCUCUUCAUUGUGCCUUUUGCUUGGUCGGUUUGUUGUCAAGGAUUCAUGGGGGAAUUCGAGUAGUUUAGCAUCUGUUUCUUGUGAUUGUACUGCCUUGCAUUUUGAUGCAGAGUAAAGAUGAGAAAUAGGGUUACAUUUUUGGGAACUAGCAAGCUGAACUUGGUGAAAUUGUAUAAUUUCUUGGAUUAUAUUUUCUUUAUGUUUAGUACUUUUAAGGCUUUAUAAAGAGGCUUCCAUUGCAUAUAUUGAGGCUUCCAUUGCAAAUAUUAAACAGAUUUCUACAUGUGAAGGAGACAGAAAAUUGAAGUAUGGCGAUCAUCAUGGUUUUCUCGUAAUUACACUUAUUGACACGCCAAGAGCUUAUGCUGAUCUCAAAUCUGAGGAACUUGGUCAGGGUGAAGCUAUAGCUCAAAACAUAAGGUCUAUGUUUGGACUGAGAGUUCCUGUCAUCUCAAUAGUCACCGGUGAAGGUGGUUUUGGGGGAGCUCUGGCCAUCUGUUGCUGCAAUAAAUUGUUUAUGCUUGAGAAUCCUGCUUUCUAUGUUGCUAGGUUUUCUUCGCAUCUAUUGUCUAUUUUUGGUUUCUUAUUAUUAUUCAAAUUCCUUCAUCAUUUUCCAAUACAUGCUUACCUUAUUAUUUCCCUUUUGACAUUCCUGAAGCAUCUAUUGUAUAUGAAUUUUUCUCUUGCUAGAUAGUUAAUAAGCUUUCAUGGGAUACAGCCUUAUUAAUUUCAGAAGAAUCUAUCUUUUUCAUGAAAAGGCUGCUGAAAACAUGAGGAUAACAGCCCAAGAACACCUUCGGCUAAAAAUUGAUGAUGUUAUCAUUCCUGCAAGCUUUUCUAAAUUCUCAAAUUUCUGCCUGAAAUCAACAUGAUUUGUUUGGACACUUGGAAUGCGUUCAUUUGGACUGCAUGCUUAUUCCACAUAAUUGGCAGAUUGGUGAGUGUGUUGCUAACUGGUGGAGGCCCAAUUUUGAAACAGUGAUGUAUCCCUACUGCCCUCCUCACAUCACAAUGAGUUAAUAGCUAUGGAGUAUAUUGUUUUUGUGUGCCGGAAGCCUAUUAGCUUAAUUGGUCGAGCAUUGUGCACUUGCAUUGCACAUGAUGUGGGUUCGAAUCCUACAUAGGCUUACAUGUAGUGAUCUUU